Molecule: ribosomal RNA, 525 nt
Filed under: Triticum aestivum (bread wheat)
Lineage: Eukaryota; Viridiplantae; Streptophyta; Magnoliopsida; Poales; Poaceae
Description: partial small subunit ribosomal RNA
Source: RNAcentral
AUGAAAGACCUUGGAGUAGCUGAUGUUAUCUUGAACAUCAAGCUUUUAAGAGGUGGUGAUGGUGGGAUCACUCUCUUGCAGUCUCACUAUGUGGAGAAGAUUCUGGAUCGCUUUGGAUAUUCAGAUUGCAAGCCUUCUCCGACACCUUAUGAUCCGAGUGUUUUGAUUCGGAAGAACGAAGGAGAAACAAAGGAUCAAUUGAGAUAUUCUCAAAUCAUUGGCUCGCUUAUGUAUUUAGCUAGUGCUACGAGGCCUGACAUCUCAUUUUCUCUUAAAGCCACAAGUGGUUAUGUGUUUACACUUGGUGGUGCAGCUGUUUCCUGGAAGUCUUGCAAGCAGACCAUCUUAACAAGGUCAACAAUGGAAGCAGAACUCACAGUGUUAGACAUGGCAACAGUUGAAGCAGAAUGGCUUCGAGAACUUUUGAUGGACUUGCCGGUGGUUGAAAAACCAAUACCAGCUAUUCUUAUGAAUUGUGAUAAUCAAAAUGUGAUCGUCAAGAAAGAACACACCUAUAUGAGUUAG